RNAcentral lists this ribosomal RNA (220 nucleotides) under Weissella cibaria. Its description in RNAcentral is "partial 16S ribosomal RNA". It matches the Rfam family "Bacterial small subunit ribosomal RNA", at positions 290 to 502 of the family's 1533-position model. Lineage: Bacteria; Bacillati; Bacillota; Bacilli; Lactobacillales; Lactobacillaceae. The record is from RNAcentral.
AGUUGAGAGACUGAUCGGCCACNNUGGGACUGAGACACGGCCCAUACUCCUACGGGAGGCAGCAGUAGGGAAUCUUCCACAAUGGGCGAAAGCCUGAUGGAGCAACGCCGCGUGUGUGAUGAAGGGUUUCGGCUCGUAAAACACUGUUGUAAGAGAAGAAUGACAUUGAGAGUAACUGUUCAAUGUGUGACGGUAUCUUACCAGAAAGGAACGGCUAACU